Syzygium oleosum is the source of this 875-nucleotide long non-coding RNA. RefSeq lists it as uncharacterized. The record is from RefSeq and is a predicted model, not a curated record. The transcript is spliced from 3 exons. Lineage: Eukaryota; Viridiplantae; Streptophyta; Magnoliopsida; Myrtales; Myrtaceae.
GGAGGAACUGCUGGUGCGGACCGUUUACAUAAGUCCAGAAUUUUGAAAAAUCUGCUAAAGGAGCAAAAUUUGCCUGGAAGGGUAUAUGGAGCAAUCUGCUCUUCGCCAGCAAUCUUACACAGACGGGGGUUACAUAAGGAUAAGAGAGUCACUGCACAUCCAUCUGUUGCAAACAACCUCGCUUGUGAAGAUAUGGAUGGUGCUAAAGUGGUCAUUGAUGGCAAGGUGAUCACGAGCAGUGGACUUGCAUCUGUCACAGAUUUUGCACUGGCCAUCAUUAGCAAACUUUAUGGCCAUGGAAAGGUAAGAAGUGUUGCAGAAGGCCUCGUUUUUUAGUAUCCCAGAAGUUAGGGAGGUCCAUGGGCUUACUCCACAAAAAUCAGCUUCCCGGCUCAUCAUCCCUCUACUAAGAGAACUAUGUUUUUGCAUGGACAAUGCCCUCAUGUGGGAUUUUAGGGUUCUUCAGCUGAAUGGAGAGAAAUUUUGUUUCUCCUUUAUUUCAGAAUAAUGUGAAAGCUGUUCAUUCGAGAGAAUUUCAUGCACUUCGUGCGGGUGCUGAUUGGCAGGUUCUGCCGUUGCCUAAUGCAGAUGGGUUGUGGAUGAUUCAUUUGCUCCCGAUCCAAUCUAUAUUCAAGAUGGACUGAUGAGGAAAAAGAAAGUGGGGAGAUGUCAAAACAAGCUUAGUGUAUCUGCUGAGCUGCUUUUACUUAUUUAUCUUAUUUUCAGCUUCAAAGGCUACGCAUCUAAUGGGAGAUCGAAGUUGGGAAUGUCUUUUUCUCAUUUCUUUCCGCAAAUGUUCUUUUUCUUUUGUUUUCUUGUUUUAGUAGUAGUCUGAUGAUCCAGGUCUUUGAUGAGUGCUUCUUGUACAUACCCUC